GCUCCGAGGAGCUCGGUUCAGAUCCCGGCCGCCUGGGCUCCAGGAGCCCCGGAACCAGGAUAAGUCGGAUGGCUGCCGCGGCGAAGCGGGGGGCGGGGUGGACCGUGCCCGGUAUUUUCUAUACGGGUUCCGGGGCCCGGUAGAGGCGCGCCAAGAGGAAAGGAAAGUGCGGCGGCCCUGGAACCUGGAUAUCGCGCGAGAUUUGUGACCCAGAAGGAAAUCUCUGACCUCAGCUGUAGCUCUUGGUGCUGGCCAGAAGCCAACUUCAUGUCUGAGUGCACGAGCAGCAGUUUGCCAUGGAGAGCUUGGGGCUGCACACGGUGACCCUUAGUGAUGGGACAACAGCCUACGUCCAGCAAGCUGUCAAAGGAGAGAAGCUUCUUGAAGGGCAGGUGAUCCAGCUCGAGGAUGGGACCACCGCAUACAUUCACCAGGUGACGGUACAGAAAGGUGAGGGCACCCCAACACACCAUGCCUUGUCGAGGGAAGCCUGACAGCCCCCACCAAGGGACCCCUCCAUGGCACUGAGCUCCAGGGAAAGGCAGGCAUUGCUCUCGUUACAGAAGCUCUCUCCUUUGAGGAUGGUCAGCCUGUGCAGCUGGAAGAUGGCAGCAUGGCUUACAUACACCGCACACCCAGAGGUAGGGUCACCAUCAUCACAACUCGGGGAAGGAUGGGAGGCAGGACUGGAGGAUGGGGUGGCAGGACUGGAGGAUGGGAUGGCACACAACUGGGGUAUAGACAUGGGAGCUGUCAUCUCCAUGGUACAUACAUGCUCACCUGGAUUAGCAGCCUUGCCCACCUUCCCUGGUGCAGACCACAGAAGCAGCUAUGUCUGCAACUGGGAGGUGAGCCUUGGAGAUCAGUGACGUGGACUUUGAUGGUGGCCUUGGCUCCAGCACAGCCACAAAGUCUUAGGGCUUUAAAUAGGACCCGAGGAUAUCAUCCAAGACCAGGAAAAAAAACUAAUAUUUUAGAAUGAAGCUCCUAAGGUGCUGAAGAAUAACAAUUUAUUCCUUCCGCA
Molecule: small RNA, 1024 nt
Filed under: Pan troglodytes (chimpanzee)
Lineage: Eukaryota; Metazoa; Chordata; Mammalia; Primates; Hominidae
Description: retained intron
Source: RNAcentral